CUCAACAUUUACUGUCCCUAGCAUAAUGACCACCCCCAAUGAGCCUCGCAUCGAAGGUUCUUUAUCUAGCUUUAAACGCCAACUUUUCUGCCUCUCAAAGUUGAGCCAUGAUAUCCUUCAACUUCCCAUUUCCUUCUCUAGCACUCCUGAUAUGUUUUUUCUGUUUCAACGGUGACGAAGCAUUACCCUCUUGUCCAACCCUACCUCAUUGUCUCAUAACCCCAUGUCCCCUUACGACCACUCCUGACUAUAAACACUAUCUCUCACUGUCUCCUUGGUUUUCCAGCUUCCUUCCCCUAUACUCUGGCCCUUCAAUCUUCAUGAUGGCGAGUUUCAUGCCAUUCAAGCUUGGAUUGCUGGACAUUCCUAGGUGUAUUCUAUCCUAAGUUUUAGUUCAAUGUUUGUUUUAAUGUGGUUUUAUGUUUUUAAAGACAUGAGGAACUAAUUUCUUUUUAGUUAAAGGUGAAUUUCGAAACCAUGAUUAUAUUUGCAGUAUGAAUUGACUAAUUCCAGUUGUGAUUUCAUAAAGUCUGAAUGCAAUUUGCUUAACUGUUUUAUUCAAAACUUAUUCUUGUAUGUUGAUUAAGGAGGCCUACUUAGUUUGCAUGCUUGAAUCUGAUGCUAGGAUAUAAGGGAGUUUCACAUAAUCGUUGCAAACUUAUAUUCACAAGUAGUGAAGGUCGCUAGUCACGAUCGCGUUAAGUUAAAUUCCUAGCAUGAGUAUCAUGAUGUCAUAGUUACGAAUGCUUUGUCAAUGCUUAUGAUUUUCAUAAAACUUAAUGAUCUUUGAUUGUAUCUCUAUUAUGAUGUGCAUGUAGGGGACUGUUGAAGAAUAAUUUGGGUUGAUGAUGCGUAUUCCAUCCAAUUCAAUGUCUUAAGGAAAAUCUGAGGGUUAAUUAGUGAUGACACGGUUAAUAUGGGGCAUUGUCAUUCAUGGUUUAUCGAAAAAGCAACUGGAGAUUGAUUUGUAUAUAAGUGUGUCAUGUGUGGAGAAGGACCCUCUAGCUAGCCCAUCAUCCAUUUAAUUCACCAAAUUCGUUCAACUUUGUUUAAGUCUUUAAUUCACUUGUUUUCACUUUAAUUUCGUCCAAAACCCAAUCCCCUUUACUUUAGUGUGUCAAAUUAGUUAGAAUCUGUCUCGGUUUGUGUUUUUUAGUGUUUUGAGUCAAGCUAAAAUUAAUUUUAGUCCAAAGUCAUUCCUAGUGUCUAGUUUGAGUCUAUUUAGUUGUUUUAAGCUGUUUUGAGUCUUUUAAGCCUGUUUUGAGUCAUUAGAGUCUAGUUAAGUGUUUUUAAGUUUAUUUUUGUGUUUUUGAGUCAGUUUAGAGUAGGUUAGCAACCCCUCCUAAUGCCCGGUCCAGAACGAUCCCUACUUACAUCUUUACUACAAUUGUCAAUAAGGGGGUUUAAUUUGUGUGUUAAGUUAAUUUUCGCAUCAGUGCUACCAUGGAAGAUAACAUGACCGACGAUUCAAAUAUAAGGCACAACUCAGGUUAUCAAACAAGAUCGAGUGUCCAUCUCUUAAAACCAUAGAAAUGGAAAUUAAGUUCUAUAUACAUGAAGGAAGACGCACAACCUUCUUGCCUAGUGUCCUGCUCUUUACUAACCCCUAUAACGAAUUCCAAUCAUGUUGAUUAGCACCUAAAUCAAAUAUCCAAGCAAAAGAGCUUAAUUGUGAAAGCACUUUCUACAACAGAAAUUGUCCAUUCAUAAAUUUUGUUUACGAGGCUCGCAAGAUGCACCCUAUAUUUCCUCUUCCAACGAUCAUCAUUUUCGCAAUGAAAGCAUGUCCCUUUGGAGUAUUUCACUUUUUUCUUAUGUAACCUUUUCCUCAUUACUGCAUUCUCGCUCCUACUGUUUAUUUUGAAACUUUGUUGAAAUUAACGCACAUGUCUAAUAACUCAGGAAGAGUAUGGUUGAAUCUAUUCACCUUGUAGUUUACUAUAAAUCUGUUGAAGUAAGGCAAGAGAGCUGCGAGGAAAAUGUCCUGGCCCAAUUUCCCAUUUGAACGGAGUUCCUAAAUUCUCAAGAUCUCAAAAGAUCCCGAUCAUCUUCAGUCCAUUGAUGUGAGAAUUACUUGACACACAAAUUUAACCCUCUUUUUGACAAUUGUAGUAUAGAUGUAAGUAGGGAUCGUUCUAAACCGGGGAUUAGG
Molecule: long non-coding RNA, 2152 nt
Filed under: Malus domestica (apple)
Lineage: Eukaryota; Viridiplantae; Streptophyta; Magnoliopsida; Rosales; Rosaceae
Description: long non-coding RNA (MDOM_LNC020247)
Source: RNAcentral